AGUCUUAUAUUCAUAUUUGUAUGAUAAUAGAAUGCAAUUCUAUAGGAGUAAGUAAUUUUACUAAGGCUU
Molecule: transfer RNA, 69 nt
Filed under: Tenumembrana ceylonica
Lineage: Eukaryota; Metazoa; Arthropoda; Insecta; Blattodea; Blattidae
Description: tRNA-Cys
Source: RNAcentral